This 478-nucleotide ribosomal RNA is filed under the name uncultured bacterium. RNAcentral's name for it is "partial 16S ribosomal RNA". It matches the Rfam family "Bacterial small subunit ribosomal RNA", at positions 28 to 523 of the family's 1533-position model. The record is from RNAcentral.
GACGAACGCUGGCGGCGUGCUUAACACAUGCAAGUCGAACGGUAAGGCCCUUCGGGGUACACGAGUGGCGAACGGGUGAGUAACACGUGGGUGAUCUGCCCUGCACUUCGGGAUAAGCCUGGGAAACUGGGUCUAAUACCGGAUAGGACCACUGCCUGCAUGGGUGGUGGUGGAAAGCCUUUGCGGUGUGGGAUGGGCCCGCGGCCUAUCAGCUUGUUGGUGGGGUGAUGGCCUACCAAGGCGACGGCGGGUAGCCGGCCUGAGAGGGUGACCGGCCACACUGGGACUGAGAUACGGCCCAGACUCCUACGGGAGGCAGCAGUGGGGAAUAUUGCACAAUGGGCGCAAGCCUGAUGCAGCGACGCCGCGUGAGGGAUGACGGCCUUCGGGUUGUAAACCUCUUUCAGCACCGACGAAGCGCAAGUGACGGUAGGUGCAGAAGAAGGACCGGCCGACUACGUGCCAGCCGCCGCAGUAA